UACGAAGGGAGCAAGCGUUGUUCGGAAUCACUGGGCGUAAAGCGCGCGUAGGCGGCUUUUCAAGUCAGAGGUGAAAUGCCCAGGCUUAACCUGGGAACUGCCUUUGAAACUGUUAAGCUGGAGUACUGGAAGGGAUGGCGGAAUUCCUAAUGUAGAGGUGAAAUUCGUAGAUAUUAGGAGGAACACCGGUGGCGAAGGCGGCCAUCUGGACAGUAACUGACGCUGAGGCGCGAAAGUGCGGGGAUCAAACAGG
Molecule: ribosomal RNA, 253 nt
Filed under: uncultured bacterium
Lineage: Bacteria
Description: partial 16S ribosomal RNA
Rfam family: Bacterial small subunit ribosomal RNA
Source: RNAcentral